Molecule: unclassified non-coding RNA, 240 nt
Filed under: soil metagenome
Description: partial contains 5.8S ribosomal RNA, internal transcribed spacer 2, and large subunit ribosomal RNA
Source: RNAcentral
AACAUCGCGCACCUGCGGGAACCUGCGGAAGGAUCAUUACAGAGUUCGUGCCCUCGCGGGUAGAUCUCCCACCCUUGUGUAUUCCUUACAUUUUGUUGCUUUGGCAGGCCGUUGGUUCGCCAACCACCGGCUCUACGGGCUGGUGCGUGCCUGCCAGAGGACCCCCCAAACUCGGUUUGAUAGUGUCGUCUGAGUAACCAUAACAAUCGUUAAAACUUUCAACAACGGAUCUCAGAUCGG